GCUUAAGGGCGCCGCGUCCCAAUUACCUCUGAUUUCAUUUCAAGCAGGGAUUUUCCAAGCAAGUAUUCGUCGUUUAAUCGGAUUGGCAUUUCCUACUUUGAAAACAUACUCCGAGUAUCUGACACGUAACAUCCGCACCAUGCAUGUUGUUUUAGGAUAGUAGAAUAUAUUAAUUGUGUUUUUGCUUACACAACAAUAAAAAGGGUACACAGUUGGUCUCCCACCAUGUACACUGUCAUCAGCACAAAAUAUGUCUGAUAAACGAUAAAAUUCACCAUCCCCCCUGAUUUGUUUUUACAACUCGACUACUGCUUAUUCACAUAACUUAUUCAUCAUUAUGUUCUGCAUUGUAAUGAUACUGUACUAAGCAGUAAUCGAAACCUAAAAGAGCGUUUCCGCCGGGUGUGGUUAUCCCCCACUGCUUUGCAAUCAUCCGCUGUGGCAUUAACAUCUAAUGGAGACGUUUCUAGGCAAUGAUGUUUUUGAAGGAUUUUCUUUUGGUUAUAAUGGAGAUUCUGGUAUGAAGAAACGAUGAAAAAAGAAAACGACUGCAAACUUUCAAUGUGGCGGUAAAUCUCUGCAUUAAGUAGCCCACUCUAUCCUGUGUCAGUCUGCAGGUCCCUGGUCUUCAGACAAAAAAAGUCCAUAAUGGGUUUGGUGGUCCUUACACUACAACAUGCUUCUUUGUGCACUGAUACAAACUCCAACUUGAGACUCACAACAUAAAGUGUUUGCUGAGGCUGGAUCACAAAGGUACUGAUUUAGUUCUGUCAUUUUUUAAGGUUCUACUCCUGUGGUGUUUAGCAACUAUUCUAUUAAUUAAUUGUCUAACCCUGCCUGUGAGCUUCGAUAUGUGAUCAUUGUUCCUCAUUGCUGAUUAAUUUUGUCUGUCUGGCACGUGCUGUUAUGAUUUUUGACUGUUCUCCUUGAUACAUUAAAUACUUUUUAGCCCAAACCACCUGCAAUUUAGUUACUGACUAUUUAGCCUCUUUGAAACCCUGUUAGUUGCCUCAUAAUAUCUUUGAGAAAAGGUUCUUUUACAUAUGGUGUCUAUUUUAUUUUGUUCACCCACUGUAUUGAAACACAAUCACAUUUUUUGUGCAUUUUGAGAUACCGGCUUUAAACUGCGGGAGGAAACCCAUGCAACCUGAGAAUAAAAUGCAACUCCUCAGACUCAAAGGUGUAGCUGGGCUUCAGACGGCCAGAUACAACAGUGCUACACACUGAACCACCACAGCACACCAUUUCCCUGAAUCCCAGGAGCAGGCCAAUAAGAUAAGGUACUGGGGGGGAUUCAUCACAUACCACAGCAAGGUAUAUAAGGUGCACAUAAGCAAUCGUGUAAAUCAAAGACAAAAAGCAUAGAUAGUACAAGUAAAUAAAUUGCAAAAAGUACACAGUACACAAACAGAAUAUCCUGAAAAUAGAAUAUUAAGGAAAUAAAUAGAAAUAAAAAAAUUAAUGGGUAGUGUAUGUGUAAGUAUAAAUCAGGUCGUACUCGACGUUUACCCUGUCGUGUUAUGGCUGGGGGUGGGGGGGCGGCAGAUGUGAGUAUGAGGCUACUGCUAGUAAGUGGUCUGUGCAAACAAUCUCUCAUGUAUCAAAGCCUGAUUAUUUGCUUGUCAAUCCAGUCCAACAGGUUACCUUUCAUUACAUGGAACAAAAGUGCAUUGUACUUUACCUUCCUCAUCAUAUUAUUAGGUGAA
Paramormyrops kingsleyae is the source of this 1706-nucleotide non-coding RNA. Lineage: Eukaryota; Metazoa; Chordata; Actinopteri; Osteoglossiformes; Mormyridae. The record is from RefSeq and is a predicted model, not a curated record.